RNAcentral lists this ribosomal RNA (498 nucleotides) under uncultured bacterium. RNAcentral's name for it is "partial 16S ribosomal RNA". It matches the Rfam family "Bacterial small subunit ribosomal RNA", at positions 30 to 523 of the family's 1533-position model. The record is from RNAcentral.
AUUGAACGCUGGCGGCAUGCCUUACACAUGCAAGUCGAACGGUAACAGGUCUUCGGAUGCUGACGAGUGGCGAACGGGUGAGUAAUACAUCGGAACGUGCCUAGUAGUGGGGGAUAACUACUCGAAAGAGUGGCUAAUACCGCAUGAGAUCUACGGAUGAAAGCAGGGGAUCGCAAGACCUUGUGCUACUAGAGCGGCCGAUGGCAGAUUAGGUAGUUGGUGGGAUAAAAGCUUACCAAGCCGACGAUCUGUAGCUGGUCUGAGAGGACGAUCAGCCACACUGGGACUGAGACACGGCCCAGACUCCUACGGGAGGCAGCGGUGGGGAAUUUUGGACAAUGGGCGAAAGCCUGAUCCAGCAAUGCCGCGUGCAGGAUGAAGGCCUCCGGGUUGUAAACUGCUUUUGUACGGAACGAAAAGCCCCGGGUUAAUACCCUGGGGUCAUGACGGUACCGUAAGAAUAAGCACCGGCUAACUACGUGCCAGCAGCCGCCGUAA